GUUGUUUUGAGUGCUUCCUGCCCAACAUAGAGCUGCUUAGAAGCUAAGCCUGCCCUGCAGUUCCUUCACGCCCAGACUGAGCAGGCCUGCCACUAGCUGGAUCCCUGGGAUUAAAUAGGGUCUCAGCAGGCGUUCCUGCUGGUUUUUCUGCUGAAGAACACAAGUCAAGGCCCUGAAUGUGCAACUCGGUGCUCUGGAAUCAUGGAGCAGUGGUCUGAGCAGUCAGCACAGAAGUACCAUCAUCCACUCAUCUUAUCCGCCAGGGCCAAAGACAAAGAAUACAGCAGAAAUUCUUCCCCAGAAUUUUGAAGACAAAGCCCAUGAUAAGGGGCUGGAGCCUGAAGAAGAGAGCAAGUACAAAGAUCAUUGGAUACAAAAGAGAGGAGCCAACACUGAUUGGAAUCAAACCUCAAGAUGGAU
RNAcentral lists this long non-coding RNA (420 nucleotides) under Castor canadensis (American beaver). Its description in RNAcentral is "lncRNA (ENSCCNG00000001548.1)". The record is from RNAcentral. Lineage: Eukaryota; Metazoa; Chordata; Mammalia; Rodentia; Castoridae.